AUUGAAUUAGCGACAACGCUUGGAAUUGAAGUGCUAAAUUAAAAAUGGCACUUUUCUGGCACUUUUUGAGUGAAAAAAGGUGAUAAAAUGUUAUUAGUGAGAAGUGAAGAUGAUUACAAAAAUAAAUCUUAUAUUGAGUCUGCGCUCCACUUCUCAUUUAUAAGUAAUACAUUGAGCAUACUUAUU
Molecule: small RNA, 186 nt
Filed under: Listeria monocytogenes
Lineage: Bacteria; Bacillati; Bacillota; Bacilli; Caryophanales; Listeriaceae
Description: rliG
Rfam family: Listeria sRNA rliG (bases 1-162)
Source: RNAcentral